GCCCGAGUGGUGGAAUGGUAGACACGACGGAUUCAAAAUCCGUUGCUUUACGGCGUGCCGGUUCAAGUCCGGCCUCGGGUACCA
This 84-nucleotide transfer RNA is filed under the name Sulfitobacter sp. JL08. RNAcentral describes it as "tRNA-Leu". It matches the Rfam family "tRNA". Rfam says of the family: Transfer RNA (tRNA) molecules are approximately 80 nucleotides in length. Their secondary structure includes four short double-helical elements and three loops (D, anti-codon, and T loops). The record is from RNAcentral. RNAcentral also lists the same sequence under 2 other names. Lineage: Bacteria; Pseudomonadati; Pseudomonadota; Alphaproteobacteria; Rhodobacterales; Roseobacteraceae.